Molecule: ribosomal RNA, 485 nt
Filed under: uncultured bacterium
Lineage: Bacteria
Description: partial 16S ribosomal RNA
Rfam family: Bacterial small subunit ribosomal RNA
Source: RNAcentral
GACGAACGCUGGCGGCGUGCUUAACACAUGCAAGUCGAGCGAGGCCCCUCCUUCGGGAGGGUGUCCUAGCGGCGAACGGGUGAGUAACACGUGGGCAACCUGCCCUCAGCUCUGGGAUAACUCCGGGAAACCGGGGCUAAUACCGGAUACGACCUCCACGGGCAUCUGCGGAGGUGGAAAGUUUUUCGGCUGAGGAUGGGCCGGCGGCCUAUCAGCUAGUUGGUGGGGUAGUGGCCCACCAAGGGGACGACGGGUAGCCGGCCUGAGAGGGCGACCAGCCACACUGGAAAGGAGAGACGGGCGAGAGUGCGAAGGGAGGCAGCAGUGGGGAAUAGGGGACAAGGGGGGCGAGCGUGAGCGAGCAAGACCGCGUGGGUGAAGAAGGCCUUCGGGUUGUAAAGCCAUUUUGUUGGGAAAGAAAAGAAGAAGGUUAAUACAACGCUGGUAUGACGGUACCCAAAGAAGAAGCAACGGCUAACUUCGUG